AAGAUAUUACACACACACAUACACACACACAAAAAUAAAAAACAUGUAUUCAGCCAACACCAUAACUCCCUUCUUGGUCUGUUGACUCAAAGGCAUGAGGAGCCCAAGUGGCCAGGUAGCAGUCUUAACUUCCAGUUUAAUGCAAUUAUUGUGAUACCUCCUGAUGGAAGCACUCCUUCUGGAGCUAAGACCUCUUGGCCAGCAGAACGUAAAAUUGUGGGAACAGGAAGCAAAAAAAUUGCUAGUAGGUCACUGUGGUAAUGAUGAGUGGUGCCACUCUCAUUUCCAUUCGUUGGUUCCUGAUUCAUGAAUCCCAGCUAUGAGAGAAAGAUAUUGUACACUGACUUAGAUAAUAUACAACUUUCUGGAGAACUCUGCCCCAGUCCUGCAAAGUAUUGUCACCUAGCUGGCACUAUCACUAUUCCUUCAAAUGGAUAUUCCACUGUCCUAUCAAUCCAGCUGCUUCAGGAUGGUGAGGAACAUGAUAAGAACAGUGAAUUCCAUGAGCCUAGGGCUUUUGCCAUGCUUGUUUGUCUGUGAAGUGAGUUUCUUGGUCAAAGCAAUACUUUGUGGAAUACCAUGAUGAUAGAUAAGGCAUUCUAUAAGUAAACAGAUGGUAAUUUUGGCAGAAGCAUUGCAUGUAGGGAAGACAAUCUGUAUUGAGAGUAUCUAUUCCAGUAAGGACAAAAUGCUACCCCUUCCUUGAAAGAAGUGAACUAAUGUAAUCAGCUUGUGACCAGGUAGCUGGCUAAUCAGCCUGGGGAAUAGUGCCAUGUUGGGCCUCAGUGUUGGUCUCUGCUUCUGGCAGAUUGGGCACUCAGUGGUGGCUGUAGCCAGGUGGGCCUCAGUAAACAGAAGUUUAUAUUGCUUAUCCCAUACAUAAUUGUUAUCCCUGCAACCAUGGCCACUUUGUUUAUGAGAAUGAGUGGCUGGGAAGGAGGAUGACUGGUAGGCCAGAGAUCAGGUCAUUAUAUCCAUUUGAUUAUUAAAAAUACUCCUCUGCUGAAGUUACCCCUGAUAAGCAUUUACAUAGAACACAAACAUCUUGACCAUUCAGAAUGUUUAUUGACCAUUCAGAAUGGCUUCUUGACCAUUCAGAAUGAUCCAUCUGUACACCUCUUUUUAAAUUUCUUUGUCAUCAAUUUUCCAAUAAUAUUUCUUAGUCCUUGACCAUCGAGCAAAACCAUUGAGUACAGCCCCUAAAUUGCAGAUAUCCAAUUUUGGGUAUUACUUGCCGAACCAUCUGUAAGCCAGGCUGACGUUUUCACUUCCUCUGUCAACUAAUCAUAGGUAACUAUACAUGAAGCUGAGAGUGCAGAGUGGGAGAGAGAAGGCAGUGUAGCAGGAGUCGGGACCAUGUACAUUCAGGCUAUUUAUUCAUACAAAUUACUUGUGUGUUCAGAGUUUGCUAAGGGCCUGAUAACCUAUAUAUUACUUCUAUUUAAUGACGGAGUGCUGCUGUGGUUGCCCAUAUGGCUUGAUGGGCCAGAUAACACCUUGUUCAUGAUAGGCAGCUCAGGUCACAUUGUAACUUGGUGGCCAAUGAUCAAGUGUGCAUUUUCUAACACUUAGCAGCAGGCCUGUAAUUCAACCAUAGGGACCUGCCAAAGGCUCCAAAUAGCAUCCCUACAUGCCCCUGAUAAAUCAAGUAUCACUGGACAUACUGGAUCAUAAGGCACAAUGAUCUGCUGGCAGAGCAGCUUGCACAGAAGCCUAGACUUGUUGCAGAGCCUUCUCUUGCUCUGGGACCCACUUAAGACUAGCAGCUUUUUGGAUCACUCAUUAACCUCGCUAGAGCAACACAACCAAAUGGGAACUAUGACAGAAAUAAAGUCAAAUGACAAAUGAAAAACUAGGGGAAAUAUCUGCAAUUAACAUCACAGAUAAGGGGUAAUUGCUUAAAUGGAAAUCUCUUCGGUCUUGUUUAGUAAAAGAUAAGUAACACUGUAGAAAAAUGGGCAAAAGACAUGAACAUAGACAAAAGAAUCCCUAGGGGUGUAAAAAAGUCCAACUUUAUUUAUUGUAAGAGAAAUACUUAUUGAAAUUACACUUAUCAAGGAAAUGGGGAAUCAGAUGGUCUCAUAUAUUGCUCAUGGGAACAUAAAAUUAUAUAACUGUAUGGAAGUCAGUUCAGCAAUAUCUAUCAACACUAUAAUACCAUGUGUCUUUGACCCAGCAUUCUCAUUUCUGGGAAUGUAUUCAACAGAUGCAUCUGUAUUUAUAAAAGAAGAAAUAUUUACAAGGUCAUUAAUUCGAGCAUGAUGUGUAAUAGCACAAUCUUGGAAACAAUCCAAGAGUGCAUUAAUAGUGGCUGCUUAAAUAAAUUAUGAUACAUGCAUCAAAACUGCAAUAAAAAUUAAGCAGCUCUCUGUAUAUUAAUUUGGAAGGAUCUCCCAAAUAUAUUGUUAAAUGGAAAACUUCAGGCAUUAAAGAUAUAUGUUGAAUCAUAAGAUAUUGUGGAUAUGAUGCCAGCUUUACGGCUGCUCAGACUUUGGCCUACAUCUGCUGCAAAACCCUUUUUUUCCUCUAGGACCCAUACAAAACCCAAAAGUCUUUUGUACUACUUGAUAAAUAGGUCAAAGCAAUAUUCACCAGUGUGAAAUUGUGCAAUUGCUCCCAAAACCCUAGGAGACUUCCCACAUGUUUUACUAUUUUCUUAGUGGUAAGAGGUACAAGAAAUAAUACUUGUCCUUUACUUUGGAGAGAAUAUCUCAAUAGGACAUUCCUUACAACUGGGCUUCUGUACCUCUAAAAACUUCACUGAUAUGUCAGGCCCUUGAAUCUUUGUAGAAUUUCUAUAAAGAUUGAAACUUCUACCUUCUAAAGUUAAUGUAACAAAUGGAAGCAAGGCUUCCAACAUAGUUGACACUUUUUUGGAUUAUUCUGUAGGAUGAUACAUACAUCAAAACUACAAGUAAGCUACUGUCAUCCACUAUGAUCCCUCUACUUUAUGCAGGCACCAAACUGAUAAAUUGUUUGGGGAUGUGAUGGAGACUACUACCUCUGCAACCUUUAAGUCUGUAGGGGUGGUACAAACCUCCGUCAUUCCUCCAGGGAUGUAAAAGUCAUUUUUAAUUUUGUUGUCUAUCUUAGGCUGAAGACACAGAAUUCAAGGGCUUCUACUUGUAUUUUCCUGCUACUAUUGAUCUUACUCUUUAGGUGAAGAAAGCACUAUAUGGUUUGUGCCACUUGCUUGGUGUAUUCAUUCCUAUUGUAUGUUUUAGAACUGGGGAAAUGACCACAGGGUAUGUCUGUGAACCCAUCUGAGCCACUGGGAAGUCAAUAAUCACUUUAACUGCUGAAUCUUACUUACUCCUAUUCCAACACAUGGGCCACGAUUUACUGCAGUUCUCAGUACAUUAAAAUCAGCCUUUGAUUCAACAGUCCUAAAAAGCUUUGGGUAUGCUUUUCCCCUAAGUAAAUGGCCAUAGGUCUCUGAGGAGAAUAGGAAUUUACUACUCUAUUUAAUUGACCAAGUAUUACAGGAUCCUUCUUCAUGGGGACCCAGGCUCUUCAGUCAAAAAGGGGUUAUUGUGCAGUUCUUAAGGGAGGCGGCAGCAAAAGUAAGAAAUACUGGUUGGCUUCCCCAAAUGCUCCUUUAAGCAGUGUGAAGAUGAGGGAGAGGAGGAGAAUAUGAGAAAUGGAAUUCCUGCCAAAAUCUAAGUUGUCAGGACCAAAAAACAGAGGGGAAAGGUGACUUUCCAAUUUUAAUUUUUAAAAUAAGUAAUAUCCUUAGGAGAAUGUAGAAAAGAGGAGUUCAAGAAGAAUGGGACUUCCAUCUAGAGAAGAAUUUUUCUGGCCUUAGCAAAGGAGAGACGUGAGAAGUGAUAAAAAUAUUUCAGAAACAAAAUGAAUACUACGACUCCAAUGUUGGCAGGAAAUUAGUGAGAAAGCCGUUGGACUUCAAGAGGUCUGGAGGCUGGGAAUGAGGAGCAUUUCAGUGGCUAACUGCAUGGAUCUUUGGGAACCAAAUAAAACAAUGACCGUUUCAGAGACUGUUGCAUGGCUGGUAACCCAAGGCUAUCUUUCAUCAAAUGUCUUUAGUACACUCUCAAGAACUUAGACCUAAUGCCCAUGGAAAUUGUAGGAGAAAGGAGGCCAAAAUUGCCUGAAAUUAAGUAUUGUUCUCUUGGUUUUUAAAAGGGAAAUUAGAUUAAUUGUGGUUAGAAGUAAAAUUUAAAUUCCCUAGAGAGUAGCUUAAUUCUUAACAUACAGGAAAAAUUGCCAGAGGAAUCUUUACACAUAGAUACUCAGAGGAUCAUCUAUCAAUCAGUUGUACUUCUUGGGACUUCUAGUGUGAUGCACAAGGUGGAUCUCUUAGAAUUGACAGAUAUUUUGCCUCUUUCUCUGUGUAAAUUAGGGCUGGAAUGGGAGGAGCAGCCAAGAGAUUUCAUCAGCCACAGUGUGCAUGAUGGAUGAGAACACGGGACACAUACCAGUGAAGGGCAGAAAAUGUUACUUAUCGACACUGGACUAAAAAAAGACUGUGCGUAACCCAUAGAUAAGCCAACUCUUAUUGUGAUAAAACAUCAGACAAAUCCAAAUUGAGAACAUUCUACAAAAUACCUGACCAGCACUCCUGAAAACUACCAAGCCUCUCAAUCCAUGGAUGUUCUUUUACUUGGUCAUCCUCACCCCAUGGUUCAAGGGUAUAUGACUUAUUAAGAGUGAAAAUGAGAAGAGGAGGUGGAGCAAGAUGGUCAAAUAGAACCAUUCACUGAUCAUCCUCCCUGCAGGAACACCAAAUUGAAAAACUAUCUACAUAAUAAAGCACCUUCAUAAGAAGCAAAAAUCAGGCAACAGAAUCAUAUGGAAGUGUGUGCAAGGUAUUUGUCAAAGCCUUGAAGACAGGGGCCCUAACCAGUACAUGGAGGAACUAUACUGCUGGGAAUACUCUGAUAAGAGUUGGACAGAGUCUCUGCCUUCAUUUAGUGUGUACACUUUAUAAAUAAACUUUUUAAAAAGAUGACUACUGAAUGGAGUCCAUUUAUUUAAAAAUGAACCAGACACAGCCCUGGACAGAAACUUCCUGAUGAGAUACAUGAAAAUUCUGAAAUACAAAACAUAAUGAAUUGUAAACAUCUUUCUAUCCACGAAAGAUGGUCAUGAAUAUUUUCAGAGUUCCCCCAUGGAGAAGACUGCAAAAGCUGUUUUGAUACUUGACUUUCCUUGCCUGCUUUAUCACAUUUGAGAAACUACAAAUGGAGUCAAAUAAUCUCAUUUGGAGUCGGCUGAGUAAAUCCAGUAAUCCUCUAAUAAUAGCGACCUCAGGAUUAAUUUAAAAUAUAGACAAAUAACUCACCUAAAAAUAUCACCUCUGACUGAAUAAUAUCAAUCAGGAGUAUUUUACAAUAUAGACAACUCACCUAAAAAUAUCACGUUUGACUGAAUAUACCUUUGAUUUUUCAAUGUAGUAUCCUGAAGAUAUAUUUGGUGUAACAGCUCUUCAACAAAUAUUUAUAGUGUCAGGCAGUGUUCUAGGAGUUGUGACACAGUUGAGAACAAAAUAAACAAGUCUCUGCUUUCAUAAUGUAUACAAACGGUAAUAAGCAUUAAGAAAGAGAAGAAAAAGGAGGCAGGAAAUAGGCAUAGAGUGAGAUUAUAGUGAUAUUUUAUAUAAGGCAGUAAAGGUGGACCUUUUUGAUUUGAGAUACCUAUUUGUGCACAGACAAAUGAGGAAGCAGAAGCUGUGUGGCUAUCUAGGAGAAGAGAGUUUUCAGGCAGAAAGAAUGGGAAGUACAAAGGAUGAGGAACAUUAAGGAGACAGUGGGGCUGGAGUAGAGAGAGUGGUGGCAGAAAUUAGGAUCAGAGAGAUAAGACAUUGGAUUGUACUUUUUAAGGUAAAAAUUUACAUUUAAUAAAAUGCACAUAUCUUAAAGUACACAAGUAAAAUGUAGAAUAUUUCCAUCACCCUACAAAAUUCUCCUGUGACCCCUUCCAAUUAAUCUAAUUGCCCCACAGGUGACCACUGUUCUGUUUUUUUUUUUAAUCACCAUAGAUUCAUUUUAUCUAUUUUGAACUCCAUAUGAAUGGAAUCAUA
RNAcentral lists this long non-coding RNA (6040 nucleotides) under Homo sapiens (human). Its description in RNAcentral is "HSALNT0329420". Lineage: Eukaryota; Metazoa; Chordata; Mammalia; Primates; Hominidae. The record is from RNAcentral.